RNAcentral lists this ribosomal RNA (253 nucleotides) under uncultured bacterium. RNAcentral describes it as "partial 16S ribosomal RNA". It matches the Rfam family "Bacterial small subunit ribosomal RNA", at positions 524 to 776 of the family's 1533-position model. The record is from RNAcentral.
UACGUAGGGUGCAAGCGUUGUCCGGAAUUAUUGGGCGUAAAGAGCUCGUAGGCGGUUUGUCGCGUCGGCUGUGAAAACUCGGGGCUUAACUCCGAGCCUGCAGUCGAUACGGGCAGACUUGAGUUCGGUAGGGGAGACUGGAAUUCCUGGUGUAGCGGUGAAAUGCGCAGAUAUCAGGAGGAACACCGGUGGCGAAGGCGGGCCUCUGGGCCGAUACUGACGCUGAGGAGCGAAAGCGUGGGGAGCGAACAGG